RNAcentral lists this small RNA (61 nucleotides) under Salix viminalis (osier). Lineage: Eukaryota; Viridiplantae; Streptophyta; Magnoliopsida; Malpighiales; Salicaceae. The record is from RNAcentral.
AUGAACCGUAUGCAUUAAAAGGUGCAUGUACGGUUCCUAAGGGAUAGAAUUUGAUCCUAAU